AGUCGCCGUACCAUCCACCAUGGCGCAAAGGAUUAAUGGUACUUUAGGCCUACUAGGCCUAGGCCUAUUAAAGAUGUACUUAAUUAACUUCAUUUAAUGCAUCUUCUGGAGAAUUUCGAAAGGGAGAAGAUUACCAGUGACGAAAUCUCUGAGCUGCCCAACUUGAAAAUUUGAGUGUGACAACAAUUGGUGAUAAGCACCGACUAAGAAUAAAUUGUAGACAAACAGGUAUUCCUAUUUGUACCUGUGUAUUGUAUCUAUCAUAAAGUGACUUUCAUAUGUAUAUAUUUUAUGAUCCAUUUUGUCUAAAUUUAUGCCAGCCAGACACAGCCCCUACACCAAAAGAAAGGAAAGCACCCGAAGACGCCAUGGACUCAGAAGAUAGUUUGCCUGUCAGAUCCAUCAACAAUGAUAACACCAAAAUGUUGGCAAAAGCAACAACUAGCAGAAGCUGGGCUUGGUAAAAAAACAUAACAGUACAUAACAGUAUAAAUCCGGAUGAAUUCCAGGAAG
Anneissia japonica is the source of this 513-nucleotide long non-coding RNA. RefSeq lists it as uncharacterized. The record is from RefSeq and is a predicted model, not a curated record. The transcript has 3 exons. Lineage: Eukaryota; Metazoa; Echinodermata; Crinoidea; Comatulida; Comatulidae.